AUUUAUAUAGUUUAAAAAAAACAUUACAUUUUCAUUGUAAAAAUAAUAUUUGUUAUUUAUAAAUA
RNAcentral lists this transfer RNA (65 nucleotides) under Inocellia crassicornis. RNAcentral describes it as "tRNA-Glu". The record is from RNAcentral. Lineage: Eukaryota; Metazoa; Arthropoda; Insecta; Raphidioptera; Inocelliidae.